UUGUUUUUGUCUACUUCAUUUAGUUAUUAUUUCCACAUUAUUUUUAUGACUUUAUUAAUCUAGUGUUUGGAAUAUUAAUUUCCUUACAAAUUGCAUGUCCACUGAGAUUAACACUAGGAAUUUUGUUGCCUAUAUUCAUACACAAAAUGGUUUAGUGCAAUCCCUUGGAUCCUUAAUUAAUGACAACUUGGGAUUCAUUAAGUCUGAAUUUUCCAUCCUUUAUAAGAUAGCUUGAACCUAUGUUUGGUAAUGUUUGAUGAGACAGUUUUCUGUUGGAAAAUCAAAUUUGAAAGAUAGGAUAUAAUUUCAUGGGAUGCAUCCAAAUGAUUUCAUUUUAAAUUUUAUGACAAAAUCAAAUUGAAUUAGAAGUUCGGAGGAUUAUUGAAUUGGAGAAAAUUGAAAAUUAUCAUAUGCAACAAUUGACAUAUGGACAUUAAUACUAAAGGAAUGAUUUAAACCAUACAUUUCACGACAAUAAAAUAGUUCUAAGAGUCAAUGACCACUGAUAGUAACACUCGGUCGUAUGUCUGUCCACCAGAAAAUGGACAUGACUAAAGGAAUUUGAGAUUUACCUGGUGAUUUGAGAAAAGCAUCUCCUAGUACAUUGGAAAUCAGUUGAUGAAACUAUAACAAGAGAAAAUAACAUUGAAAAAGAAUUCUGAAAAACAUGUUAAUGGACAUACUCUCUUUAUAGUUUUGUUGGAUUUGAUGAUAGAAAUGCUAAGGUUAAAAUUCUUGGAAAACAAUAUAGUAGCUUGUUACAUUGAAUUAGAAGUUAUCCAUACAAAUCAUUAGGUAACUUCAUUAUAAUUAAACAUUAACAUCCAACACUUUCAGCUUGCAGUUCUAUGUUGCUAAGCAUGUAUCAAAAGCUACAUUCAGUACGUCAUUUUCAUUUAUCCACGUUAUAAUGAAAUUCAAUAUAUUUAAAUAUUCUCAUUUAGUUGAUGACAUCCCUCUAACAUAUGAUUCAAUAUUUUAUCCGUAAUUCUAUUUUUAUGAACUAGACCUAUCCAUCACAGACGAACCUCUACUUCAUGAUUAUUUAUUUAUCUUUUAUAGCUCCUUCUCACUUGUCUCAAUUUAAUUUGUUAUACUUUUAUAUAUGCAGGCCCGAGGCAGAUGUUGUUAAGACCAUUACUAGAGAUAUGAUAUGUGAGAUAAUAGGUAAAGACUGUGUUGAGGAUGGCCUAGUUGAUAAAAAAUCCCGUUUGAAAAAAUUAAAAGAGUUGAUUUGGAAAUCAGAAGAUGUUAGCAUGGAUGGGAUUAGGAGGAAAUCAAGAGAUGUUCUCAUGGUUGGGAUCUUUGGAAGCGCUGGAAUAGGGAAGACAACUAUUGCCCGAGCUUUGUAUGAUGAAAUUUCUUGUCAAUUUGAUGGUGCUAGUUUUCUUGCAAAUAUUCGAGAGGUAUCCAAAAAGGAUGGCCUAUGUUGCUUACAAGAACGACUUUUUUGUGAUAUCCUAUUAGGAGGUCGAAAAGUAAUGCUUCUUAGAAGGGACAAUUUGAUGGAGAGCAAAUUUUGUACUAAAAAAGUUCUUAUUGUUCUUGAUGAUGUAAAUGAUAAGAAACAAUUGGAAUUAUUAGCCGGAAGACAUGAUUGGUUUGGUAAAGGAAGUAGAAUCAUUAUAACGUGUAGAAAUGAACAUUUGUUAUUACGACAUAAAGUGGAUGAGUCUUAUGAGUUUAAGAAAUUAGAUGGUCUUGAAGCUCUAGCACUCUUGUGUCACCACGCCCUUACCGAAGAACAAUCUCCAUUUAAGCGUUUUCUCUUUUUAGAUAAUAUAAGGGCUCGUUGUGAAAAUAAUCCUUUAAAGCUUAAAGUUGCGGGUUCUUAUCUACGUGGCAAGGAAGAUGCGAAUUGGGAAAUUUAUGUAAAUAGUAAGUUUUUGAAAGUGAGUUAUGAGGACCUACUUGAGGAAGAAAAGGAUAUAUUCCUUGAUGUUGCAUGCUUCUUUCAAGGGGAGUGUGAAGAUUUUGUUACAAAAAUACUAGAGAAACCUGAUUUCUCUGCUAAACAAGGAGUGCAAGUUCUAAGCAAUAGGUGCCUCUUAACAAUUUCGGAAGGAAAGUUAUGGAUGGAUAAUUCAAUACAAGAAAUGGCCUGGAAAAUUGCUAACAAACAGGCACAGAUACCAGGCAAACCUUGCCGCUUGUGGGAUCAUAAUAAAAUCCUACACGUACUGAAGAGAAACGAGGUACCUUCCAUAUACACUCUUAAAUGUCUAUAGCUUAAGAAAAAAAUACUGACACAUAUACACAUGAAAUUUGCUUUACUUAUUUGUGGCUCUUUCUUGUAGGGGAUACAUGCAUUAAUUGAAGGCAUAUCCUUAGAGCUAUCCAAAUCAAAAGACAAAAAAUUUUCUGGUGAAGCCUUUUCCGAAAUGGAUGCACUCAGAUUGCUAAAGGUCUUCUUGGGUUCUGGAUGUGUUAAUGACAAAGAGACUUAUAAAGUGCAUUUUUCUACAGACUUUACGUUUCCUUCAUAUGAUAAGUUAAGGUAUCUCCAUGGGCAUGGAUACCAAUUAGAUUCUUUUCCUUCAAACUUUGAGGCAGAGGAGCUUCUUGAACUCAACAUGCCAUGUAGCAGCCUAAAACAAAUUAAAGGGGAUGAGGUAUGAUUAUAUAUAUAUAAAUGCUUGCUUUUAAGAUGAGCGUUGAUGUAAAUAGAAGCUAAUUUUCUUAAUUAAAAUGCUUUCUUUCACAGAUUCAUUUUCCAAAUUUAAUUGCCCUUGAUCUUAGUCACUCUCAACAAUUGGAAACCAUCUCAAACUUCUCAAGGAUGCCAAAUUUGGAGAGACUGGUUCUUGAAGGUUGUAGAAGUUUGGUUAAGGUUGACCCAUCUAUUGUAAAUCUGAAAAAGCUUUCUUUGAUGAAUUUGAAAGGCUGCAAAAGGCUUAAGAGUCUUCCAAAGAGAAUUUGUAAAUUCAAAUUUCUUGAAACUCUUAUUCUCACGGGUUGUUCGAGACUUGAGAAAUUGCUAGGUGACAGGGAGGAACGGCAAAAUUCAGUAAACCUGAAGGCAAGUCGAACUUAUAGAAGUGAGUAUAAGAUACUGUUAUUUUGUUUGGUUUUCGCACACUAUUAGGUCUAAGAAAAUGCCAUCUAUGUGAUAGGGCAGUCCCCAGUCAUUUUUUGAUGCUUACUGUCAUUGCAAAAGUUAAAUCUAACUGGAAAUGACUUUAUUAUCAUACCAGGAGUCAUCAUUCUACCUCCGGCGCUAAGAAUUCUUCACUUGGGGCAUUGCAAGAGGUUUCAAGAAAUUCUAAAGCUUCCUUCAAGUAUUCAAGAAGUAGAUGCAUACAACUGCAUUUCUAUGGGAACUUUAUCGUGGAACACCAGACUAGAAGCAUCCAUUUUACAGAGGAUCAAGGUUUCUCUCUCCCUUGUUAAACUUUGUUAUUUUCAAGGCAGAACUUUGCUCUCUUUUUCAUGAUAAACUUUAAUUUUGAUGGCAGAUUAAUCCGGAAUCUGCAUUUUCUAUCGUUCUUCCUGGGAAUACAAUUCCAGACUGUUGGGUCACCCAUAAGGUGACGGGAUCUUCAGUGACUAUGAAGCUGAAAAAUCCUGAUCGGUACAACGAUGACCUCUUGGGAUUUGCCGUGUGCCUUGUUUUUGCACCACAGGCUGAAAGGCCUCAGCUAAAUCCUGAAAUAUUGUGUGAAUUGAAGAAUUUCACAUUUUUCUACAGUUGUGGCGAGGACAGUGUAGAUGAAUUUCCAGAGUCAGAUCAAGAAUGGGGCAACAACAGUACAGAGCACGUGUGGUUGGCAUACCGACCACAUGCUCGAGCUGAUAGAUGUCAUCCUAAAGAAUGGAAUCAUAUUAAGGCUUCAUUUGAAGUCUUUGACUGUGUGGUGAAAAAGUGUGCUAUUCGCCUUAUAUACAAGUAGUGUUUGGGUAAGAAACCCAGUGAAAAUGGAAUUUAUGGCUCAUACUCCGUUGAUAACUCCAUUAUUCAUGAUAUUUCAUCCAGCUUCCAAAACUUUUGGAUUGUUUGAUUUGAAUGUUCCAAAAUAUCCAUAUAAACUCCUUUCUAAGAAAGUCUGUUUCUCUGUGGAUAUCACCUUUGUUUCUCUCCACCAAUUUAUAAAGAUUGAUUCAUCUGAAAUUGAGCAAUCAUCACUGACCUGAGGAUUUAAGUGAUCAUCUCCACUGCCGGUACGAGUUAUCGCCUGUCUGAAAACCACCCUUUUUACUAAUCAGGGUGCUGCCUCCCUCACUCCCACAGCCAGAAUCCACAAAUUAGCACUGGACUUUCUCCUCCACCUGUAGCUGGCCAGUUUUCUCCUUAAUUUUCAAGAUCAAUUGAUGGUCACAUAAAGGGAGCUAUGUUCCUAUUUGCAGAUAUCUUGCCUGCAUUCGUUGGAGAGGAAAAAAGAGUGGGAUUGUGGGCGAGGCAGUGUAAGGGCUUAUUGUCACAAGAUGCUUCAAAUGACCCUCCCCAUGGCUUAUAUAGGAGGUAAGAAGCUUUUAGAGACCCUUGGAGACAUCCACACUUAGCCACUAGUGGGAAGAGUGUGGAAGGUUCUAGAAAUGCCUAGAGAAGUCCACACAACUCUACACUAUGGUAGAAGGCAUGAGAAGGGUCCAAAGCUUUCUAAAGAAAUCUAGAAGUCUCUUGUAUAUAGGCUUAUACAUAGAAUAGUGUAGGACAUUCUAGAAUAUUCAUGAAUUGUAAGGAACCCUCCAAGGUUCUAGAGAGUUCCAUUGGUGCCUAUAAAUAGGUGAGGGCCUCAUUUGGCCAAGGCACCAAACAAGUGAGCAUCCAAGCACUUGUAAAGGCUUUCUUGAGUUAAUAAGAGCUUCCAUUCUUUAAGGAGUUGCCUACUAAGCUCUUAAGCUUUCGAGUCGCGAGUGUCUUAGCCGAGCAAGCUAAGCAUUGGGGAUCAAGGCUGACUUAGCAAGAUCAAGCGUCUUGACUUGCCUAAGUGCCGCACGAGCUUAGUGAACGACUAAGUCCGUGACAUUAUGGCUUUGGUGUGGGGGGAUCUUCAGUGUGAGAGUGAAUUGUGGGCUGUUCUGAUGAGCUUUAUCUUUUGAUGUGUUUAAUGUCUUUAAGAUAAGGCCUUGUUUCGUUGUUUCUAUAUAUCUUUACCUCCAACUUUGUACAUUCUCCUUUGAAUCUUUUUCAUACCUGGAAAAUGCUUCUCCGAAACUUCCCAUCUGCUUUCGGACGUCGGAUGGAUCUCCGUGAUAAAAAAUUGGCACAACCGGUUGUUCCAUUUCUUUCCUGCACUCCAUGAUCUUCACGUGCUCAUUCAAGCACCAUCCGGAAUUAGCAUAGUUUUCUGAGAAUACGACUAUAGAAAACCUUGAUUCCUCGAUAGCUUUCAAGAUUUCUGGAGCAAUCUCUUCUCCUCUCUUAAGUGUAUCAUCUCUGAAAGUUUUAAUGCCUUUGUGAACUAAAGUGGUAUAAAGGUGAUCAGUAAAGUUGAAACCGGUAUCUUUGCGUCUAAAGCUCAGGAAAACAUCGUACCUCCAUGGACAGACAGAAGUUGACGAGGAACAGAAAGCUUUUUGAGCACUAGUGUAAGCCAUUGAUGAAGUGCAUGAACAAGAGUUUGGAGAUUUCUCUACAUAUCAUGAAUGAUUGACCUUUGCAAUAUAAGGUCAACGACUCCAAUAAUAUUUUAACAAUAUCAAGAAAGUUUAAUUGCCUGUGAAUCCUCAGAUCAACUGUAGCAAAAAAUCUUGCAAGACCAAAAUGUCCUUCGUGAAUCUUGGGUUUGGAUCAUUGAAUUUUAAUUUUUCUUUUUAUUUCAUCUUCAUUGUGUAAAUUAAGUAUUAUACGCAUUGUAUAUAUUUAGAUAUUAGAAGGAAAAUAUGAAUUAAUUAAUUGUUCAGAGGGCUUGAUCAAGUGAAAAUGAUAUGAUAUAUGGCAAGUUAGCUGAAUUUUUCAAUAAGCAUUUUGUGUUCCACUGUUUGGUUAAUUUUCUUAAUUUUUGUUCAUAAUGGGUUUAUCUCCACCUUCUUGUAAAAUGGGGCGAAACACUUGUUUACCAUGAAACUCUAUUUUCUUAAUAACCACAAAUAUAUAAAUUUGAAUUGGUCAAACUUCAACAACCCAAUUAUUAAUUUAAGGAAUUUUUAAUUGAAUGUGAAAUAUUACAAAAAUAUUACAACAUGGAAAAAAUAUUAUAAAAUUUGAUGGCUUAGGAUGAUAGAAUUGGAUGCCACCUUGAAUUUGAACAAUAAUGUUAUGGUAAAAAAAAAUAAAAAAACAAAUCCAGUGAGUUUGAGUCAUGAAGAAAAAUCCUCUAAAAUUAGUUGAAAUAUUACUAUUUUUUCACCUUGGCUCAUACCAUUAUAGAACCCUUUUAUAUUAAAAAAUAAUUUAAUUAAUUCAUAAUUAAGAUAUAACAGUUAUAUGGAUGGUAUCAAGAUAUUCAAUGGGUAAUAUAUAGUGGCCAAACUUUAUAUUCACAAAUCCUUAAAGUUAACGGCUGUGAAAAUUAGUGCAAUUUGAUCAAUAAUUCAAUAAUCAAAUAAGAAUAUGAAUUAAAAACUAUUCGAUUAAUGGAUCUUAGCUAACUACUUUAUUUAGGGGAACCUAUAAAUACUAGCUGACUUUUGUAUAGUCUUCUAAUUAGUUUCCUACCAUUUAUUGUUUGAUGAUGCUUCUUAAAAAUGAAAUCUUUAAGAAGAUGUGUUCUUAUAUUCUUCAUUUAUUAGGUUAAGGUGAUGAAAUUUUGAUAAUUUUUUUUUAUUUUUUAUUUUGUAUUAUUUUCCUAAUCUUUUGAGAGUGUCCAAAUCUUCCUCUUUGGUUAAAUAAUACAUUUAUAAUGCUCUAUAUUCGUAUUUAUUUUCCUAACUCUGUGAUGACGUGGUUAGGAGAUGACCAAUUUGAUCACUCAAUGUUUCAUUUUAUUUUAUUUUUUAUUUUUUAUUUUUUUUUAUGAAGAGAGGUUUGGUUUGAUCCUGUAAUCUAAAGGUGGAUAAAAAAUUAUGGGAAUCACUAAUCAAUGUUGACAAAUACCAUCAUUAACAAAAUUAAAAUUAUAAAAUCUAAUUGUAGUGUACUUCUAAUAUUUAAUUUAAUUUUAGUCCGAAAUAGGGAUAGGGAUAGGGAUGAACUUUUCUCUCAGAGAGCUGGCUCCUAAUCAUUACUAUUCAUUCUUUCUUGGGAUACGUGCAAGACUUGUAGGAAUAGAAUGGUCAUGAUGUUCCGCAUGAUCACUAAUCCCAUGUUUCGAACUUCUAAGGGAUUUAUUGUCUUCAACUGUGUUGCAUGUUGCAUUAAAAGAAAAGGGUUUGGUAAUCAUAUAGUUUGAAAUUUGAGAUAAAAUUUUGUCCUGACAUACUUCCAUAAUGUAUGUAGCAGGUAAGAAGGACUAAAUAUGAAAAAAUUUAGAAUUUUGUCCUUACACCUCAAAUUGA
RNAcentral lists this long non-coding RNA (7377 nucleotides) under Vitis vinifera (wine grape). RNAcentral's name for it is "long non-coding RNA (VVIN_LNC006222)". Lineage: Eukaryota; Viridiplantae; Streptophyta; Magnoliopsida; Vitales; Vitaceae. The record is from RNAcentral.